UUGACCCACUUAAAGCUCAAUAUCCCUCAAUUUAACCGUUAGAUCAAGCUCAAAUUCACGAUACAUAUUAAACACAACUAUAACCAUAAACCCACAAAAUUUCACCUAGAGAUCUAUUACAAAACUCUUGAAAUUACCCAAAACGUAAACCCUAUUUUAUUUCAUAAAACCCAAGUCAUCCGAAACAAACCUUGACUUUGCAAAGCCAUUACAAAGUCAAUACAGAUCCAAAUCACCCAAAACCAACACCUAUAGAAACCCUAUCAAGUCUUCUAUCAAAUCCCACUCUCCGAUCUGCCAAAGAGUCCUUGAAUCGCCAUCAGAGCGUGGUUUUGUGCCUCGGGGUCUGAUUUCGAUCCAGGUUCAUAACCGAUCCUCUUCGGAUAUCAACUUUCAUCUUCUUGAGGUAAUUUUUACUAAUUUGCACUCCUAACUCCUCCCUACAUAUGCCUAUAUCCUUUAUUUUUCUAAUCUACCUUGUUUUGUCUUAUUUAUGGCCUUACAAAG
Molecule: long non-coding RNA, 507 nt
Filed under: Physcomitrium patens
Lineage: Eukaryota; Viridiplantae; Streptophyta; Bryopsida; Funariales; Funariaceae
Description: long non-coding RNA (PPAT_LNC008890)
Source: RNAcentral